This 631-nucleotide ribosomal RNA is filed under the name uncultured bacterium. RNAcentral describes it as "bacterial SSU rRNA". It matches the Rfam family "Bacterial small subunit ribosomal RNA", at positions 84 to 750 of the family's 1533-position model. The record is from RNAcentral.
UUCGGGUGGGAGUGGCAGACGGGUGAGUAACACGUGGGAACGUACCCUUUGGUUCGGGACAACUCUGGGAAACUGGAGCUGAUACCGGAUACGCCCUUUUGGGGAAAGGUUUACUGCCGAAGGAUCGGCCCGCGUCUGAUUAGCUAGUUGGUGGGGUAACGGCCUACCAAGGCGACGAUCAGUAGCUGGUCUGAGAGGAUGAUCAGCCACACUGGGACUGAGACACGGCCCAGACUCCUACGGGAGGCAGCAGUGGGGAAUAUUGGACAAUGGGCGCAAGCCUGAUCCAGCCAUGCCGCGUGAGUGAUGAAGGCCUUAGGGUUGUAAAGCUCUUUUAUCCGGGACGAUAAUGACGGUACCGGAGGAAUAAGCCCCGGCUAACUUCGUGCCAGCAGCCGCGGUAAUACGAAGGGGGCUAGCGUUGCUCGGAAUCACUGGGCGUAAAGGGCGCGUAGGCGGCGUUUUAAGUCGGGGGUGAAAGCCUGUGGCUCAACCACAGAAUGGCCUUCGAUACUGGGACGCUUGAGUCUGGUAGAGGUUGGUGGAACUGCGAGUGUAGAGGUGAAAUUCGUAGAUAUUCGCAAGAACACCGGUGGCGAAGGCGGCCAACUGGACCGGCACUGACGCUGAG